This 1093-nucleotide long non-coding RNA is filed under the name Homo sapiens (human). RNAcentral's name for it is "HSALNT0338131". Lineage: Eukaryota; Metazoa; Chordata; Mammalia; Primates; Hominidae. The record is from RNAcentral.
CUUGAACCCGGGAGGCAGAGGUUGCAGUGAGCCAAGACUGCGCCACUGCACUCCAGCCUGGGCAACAGAGUGAGACUCCAUCUCAAAAAAAAAAGAAAAAAGAAAGAAAAUCACAUAUAUGAUCAAGUAUUUACAUCUAGAAAAUAUAAAGGACUCUCAACACUCAAUAAUAAGAAAACAAACAACCCAGUGAAAACACUUGGGCAAAGUUGAACAAAUGCCUUACCAAACAGGAUACACAGACAGCAAAUCAGCAUGUGAAAAGAUGCUCAACAUCUUUGAUGCUGUUUUAAUUAGCAUACCUAAUUAAAACUAUAAUGAGAGCCUGGGCAAAUGGCAAAACCCCAUCUCUACAAAAAAAUACAAAAAUUAGCUGGGCAUGGUGGCACACGCUGUAGUCCCAGCUACUCAGGAGGCUGAGGUAGGAUUGUUUGAGCCUAGGAGGUCAAGGCUGCAGUGAGCAGAGAUUGUGGCACUGCACUCUGGCCUAGGGGACAGAGUGAGACCCCCAUCUCCAAAAAAAAAAAAAAAAAAAAGCCUAUAAUGACAUGUCACUAUAUACUAAAUUAAAAGAAUUGAUCAUUCAUAGUGUUGGUGAUAUGUGAACAAGUGUUGGCAGAAGGUUUCUUUAGGAGUCAUUCCAUGACUAGAUAUUUAUUUAUCCAAGAGAAAUUAAAACAUAUGUCCAAACAAAACUUGUACAUAAAUGUUCAUAUCACCUUUCUUUAUAAUAACUAAAAAUCUAGUGAAUGAGAAAAAAAUAUUUUCAGCCCACGAAAGUUUGUAGUUAGGCCAGGUGCAGUGGCUCACGCCUAUGAUCCCCACACUUUGAGAGGCCAAGGCGGGCAGAACACUUGAGACCAGGAGUUCGAGACCAGCCUGGCCAACAUAGUGAAACCCCAUCUCUACUAAAAAUACAAAAAUUAGCCAGGCAUGGUAGCAUGCACCUGUAAUCCCAGCUAUUCAGGAGGCUGAGGUGGGACAAUCACUUGAACCCGGGAAGUGGAGGUUGCAGUGAGCUCCGGUCACGCCACUGCUCUCCAGCCUGGGCAACAGAGCAAGACUCCGUAUCAAAAAAAAAAAAAAAAAAAAA